GACGAACGCUGGCGGCGUGCUUAACACAUGCAAGUCGAACGGAAAGGCCCUGCUUUUGUGGGGUGCUCGAGUGGCGAACGGGUGAGUAACACGUGAGUAACCUGCCCUUGACUUUGGGAUAACUUCAGGAAACUGGGGCUAAUACCGGAUAGGAGCUCCUGCUGCAUGGUGGGGGUUGGAAAGUUUCGGCGGUUGGGGAUGGACUCGCGGCUUAUCAGCUUGUUGGUGGGGUAGUGGCUUACCAAGGGUUUGACGGGUAGCCGGCCUGGGAGGGUGACCGGCCACAUUGGGACUGCGAUACGGCCCAGACUCCUACGGGAGGCAGCAGUGGGGAAUAUUGCACAAUGGGCGGAAGCCUGAUGCGGCAACGCCGCGUGCGGGAUGACGGCCUUCGGGUUGUAAACCGCUUUCGCCUGUGACGAAGCGUGAGUGACGGUAAUGGGUAAAGAAGCACCGGCUAACUACGUG
Molecule: ribosomal RNA, 468 nt
Filed under: uncultured bacterium
Lineage: Bacteria
Description: partial 16S ribosomal RNA
Rfam family: Bacterial small subunit ribosomal RNA
Source: RNAcentral